Engraulis encrasicolus (European anchovy) is the source of this 202-nucleotide long non-coding RNA. RefSeq lists it as uncharacterized. Lineage: Eukaryota; Metazoa; Chordata; Actinopteri; Clupeiformes; Engraulidae. The transcript has 2 exons. The record is from RefSeq and is a predicted model, not a curated record.
UCAGAGACGAUGACGUUGUUUAAUUGAGUCCCCUGACACACAAGGGUGGAGUUUGAGACGCACCACACAGUGCUUUCGCACGCAGGCAGCAACCAGGGUAACUUUCAAGGACUUCCUCUGGAUGGUGGCAGAUUGACAACCUCACAUCAGUGAACAUGAAUCUCAUAACUGAUUGGAAAAAUAAAUAAAGUUUUGCACACAA